This 353-nucleotide transfer-messenger RNA is filed under the name Christensenellales. RNAcentral's name for it is "RUG14239 sp902797145 Standard tmRNA". It matches the Rfam family "transfer-messenger RNA". Rfam says of the family: Bacterial tmRNA, also known as 10Sa RNA or SsrA, is named for its dual tRNA and mRNA-like properties. Its role is to liberate the mRNA from a stalled ribosome. RNAcentral also lists the same sequence under 1 other name. The record is from RNAcentral. Lineage: Bacteria; Bacillati; Bacillota; Clostridia.
GGGGGCGUAAAUGGUUUCGACGGGGAUCAUGGAUGCCGGAUAAGCGAGUCGAAGACCCAAGCUUCGUUAAAAUCGGGAAAAUUUUAAAAAGAAACGACAAUAAUAGUUUCGCAAUCGCUGCCUAAUUGAGCAGUCGUUCGCCGUAUGUUGCCCACGACAUACGAUACGGGCGUCAUCAAAGUGGGGAACCAGCUUGCCUAAGCUUUGCGGCGAGUGGGAUUUUAUGAAGCUACUGAGGUUCUGACCCUUCCGUUGGGGGCUUAACCGAGGGAAUGUUAAAACAGCGGAUACACUCGUAGAAAUUCUUGCAAACAGGUUUUCGGACAGGGGUUCGACUCCCCUCGCCUCCACCA